RNAcentral lists this ribosomal RNA (582 nucleotides) under uncultured bacterium. RNAcentral describes it as "bacterial SSU rRNA". It matches the Rfam family "Bacterial small subunit ribosomal RNA", at positions 331 to 930 of the family's 1533-position model. The record is from RNAcentral.
CCAGACUCCUACGGGAGGCAGCAGUGGGGAAUAUUGGACAAUGGACCGAGAGUCUGAUCCAGCAAUUCUGUGUGCACGAUGAAGUUUUUCGGAAUGUAAAGUGCUUUCAGUUGGGAAGAAAGAAAUGACGGUACCAACAGAAGAAGUGACGGCUAAAUACGUGCCAGCAGCCGCGGUAAUACGUAUGUCACGAGCGUUAUCCGGAUUUAUUGGGCGUAAAGCGCGUCUAGGUGGUUAUAUAAGUCUGAUGUGAAAAUGCAGGGCUCAACUCUGUAUUGCGUUGGAAACUGUAUAACUAGAGUACUGGAGAGGUAAGCGGAACUACAAGUGUAGAGGUGAAAUUCGUAGAUAUUUGUAGGAAUGCCGAUGGGGAAGCCAGCUUACUGGACAGAUACUGACGCUGAAGCGCGAAAGCGUGGGUAGCAAACAGGAUUAGAUACCCUGGUAGUCCACGCCGUAAACGAUGAUUACUAGGUGUUGGGGGUCGAACCUCAGCGCCCAAGCAAACGCGAUAAGUAAUCCGCCUGGGGAGUACGUACGCAAGUAUGAAACUCAAAGGAAUUGACGGGGGCCCGCACAAGA